Molecule: ribosomal RNA, 497 nt
Filed under: uncultured bacterium
Lineage: Bacteria
Description: partial 16S ribosomal RNA
Rfam family: Bacterial small subunit ribosomal RNA
Source: RNAcentral
GAUGAACGCUGGCGGCGUGCCUAAUACAUGCAAGUCGAGCGAACAGACGAGGAGCUUGCUCCUCUGACGUUAGCGGCGGACGGGUGAGUAACACGUGGAUAACCUACCUAUAAGACUGGUAUAACUUCGGGACACCGGCGCUAAUACCGUAUAACAUGUUGAACCGCAUGGUUUAACAGUGAAAGACGGUCUUGCUGUCACUUAUAGAUGGAUCCGCGCCGCAUUAGCUAGUUGUUAAGGUAACGGCUUACCAAGGCAACGAUGCGUAGCCGACGUGACAGGGUGAUCGGCCACACUGGAACUGAGACACGGUCCAUACGCCUACGGGAGGCAGCAGUAGGGAAUCUUUCGCAAUGGGCGAAAGCAUGACAGAGCAACGCCGCGUGAGUGAAGAAGGUCUUCGGAUCGUAAAACUCUGUUAUUAGGGAAGAACAAAUGUGUAAGUAACUAUGCACGUCUUGACGGUACCUAAUCAGAAAGCCACGGCUAACUACGUG